This 87-nucleotide transfer RNA is filed under the name Mycolicibacterium sediminis. RNAcentral's name for it is "tRNA-Glu". Lineage: Bacteria; Bacillati; Actinomycetota; Actinomycetes; Mycobacteriales; Mycobacteriaceae. The record is from RNAcentral.
GUUCGGGUAGAUCGGCGACCGGCCCGUUCUCGUCGGGGUAGCCGAGGAUGAAUUCGCCGGGCUCGAGUGCCGCCCCCGACCCGGGGG